This 561-nucleotide long non-coding RNA is filed under the name Phasianus colchicus (ring-necked pheasant). Its description in RNAcentral is "lncRNA (ENSPCLG00000010341.1)". Lineage: Eukaryota; Metazoa; Chordata; Aves; Galliformes; Phasianidae. The record is from RNAcentral.
AACUGUGCUGACUUUGAACGGGAAUUAAUGUCGAAGAUGCCCCUGAAAUCCAAAGCCGGAAUUCAGAUGAAAGACUUCUACAGUUUUGAAUUUGACAUGCCUGUAUCAUUGCAAAGAGGCUGAAAACCUUAAGCUUUCCAUCCUGAAGUCCUGCAUAUGCAAGGACUUAUCACUUAAACAACCACCACACAACAGAAUGAGCACUGAUCUAAGGAUGUAUGCGUGCCCCAUCCCACGAGGACAGUAGUGUUCUGGGGCUCCUGGUCUGAAUAGAAGUGCUGAUAUGACAGCAUGAAGCCUCCCAUCCUCAGAAAGAGGAAAAGCUUAAAUUUUUGGAAUUCUGUUGAAAUAUUUUUAUGGCAUUCAUUGAACUCCACUGUGUUCCCAGAAGCCAGCUGUGUAGGAUGCUUCCCUUGGAGAAAGGUAAAACUGUCACUAGAAAAAUUACCUUGUCUUGGCCUUUGCAGCAAUUUUUUGUCUCCCAGGCCCAUGCAUUCACCAAAGGAAAUCAUUUGUUUCUCUAAUUGUCUCAAUACUUUUGUCCAUGCAAGGAGAUUAUAG